AUGUCAGUGUUGAUCAAACCUGGUCCAAGCCAUGCUGGUAUGUCUAGUUGGACUAGACCUCCUGUGGGAUGGCUGAAAGUAAACACAGAUGCUGCGUUUGUGGCCAUUUCGGGUGAAUCUAGUGCUGGGUACAUUAUAAGAGACUUCAUGGGCAGACUUGUUAGAGCAGAGGGCGUAAAACUCCAUCCCUGUGCAAGUGCCGAAGAGGCUGAAGUUUGUGCGUGUGUCGCUGGGCUGAAGGCUGCUCUUGACUUGGGAAAUGAUAAGAUUAUCGUUGAAUCUGAUUGUGCUGCAGUUAUUUUGAACAUUCUGUCCCCUGCAACCCCUCUUGCAGCUUGGAGAGAGCAUUAUAUUGUGAUUAGGGAUCUUCUUCAAGAUAGUUCAAACAUUGUCUUUCGAAAGAUUGGGAGAGAUGGCAACAAAGUUGCUCAUGAGUUAGCCAGGCUAACCCAGAGCAGUGGUAGGGGGGCUGUCCAUAUGGGCCAACUACCACUGGUUUUGGCGUUGCUGGUGCAAUCUGAUUGUAACGACUGUGAUGAUAUUUUAAUAUAA
Molecule: ribosomal RNA, 552 nt
Filed under: Triticum aestivum (bread wheat)
Lineage: Eukaryota; Viridiplantae; Streptophyta; Magnoliopsida; Poales; Poaceae
Description: partial small subunit ribosomal RNA
Source: RNAcentral